AUGUUAAAAUGUAUUAUGUUAAAAUUAUUUGCAAAACAUUUGGUUUAGAUAGAAAAGACCAAGUGAAAAUGAUACUGGAAAGGCUGUUUACCGUGUGACUCCUGCCAUAUCUAACCUAGUGGGUUCAAAAAGAAAGGACCGCGCUGGAAACAUGAGGGGAUAACCUGCUCGUAUGAAUGGAUUUCUCGACGUGAAAUAGUUACUUUUAUUUAACAAAGCCAAGAAAUAGAGCGCGCUCAAGAAACAGAAAAGAAAGAGAAAGAUGAAAAUAUAUUCUGUUGAACAAUA
Molecule: long non-coding RNA, 288 nt
Organism: Hydra vulgaris (swiftwater hydra)
Lineage: Eukaryota; Metazoa; Cnidaria; Hydrozoa; Anthoathecata; Hydridae
Source: RefSeq, a predicted model, not a curated record